Long non-coding RNA from Cryptomeria japonica (Japanese cedar), 1567 nucleotides. RefSeq lists it as uncharacterized. NCBI's taxonomy places the organism in Eukaryota, Viridiplantae, Streptophyta, Pinopsida, Cupressales, Cupressaceae. The transcript is spliced from 3 exons. The record is from RefSeq and is a predicted model, not a curated record.
GACUCCUGUGGAUCGAUAGCAAUAGAUGCAGAGAUUAUCUGAUCAUGGAUUAUAACCAGCCGGGAGAAAUAAGCUCUUACUUUGGCAUUUUGAGGAGAUAUACCUGUAGCGUCUUCAGUCAAGAUAAAGAAUACAGUCGCAUGUCAAAGUUCAGCAUCGAAGGGGAAUUUAAGUGAUCAGAUUAUUAUUCAUAGGCUGAAGACAAGUGACAACGCACAUACUGAAGGGACGUGAGGCUUAAGCUGCUUGGUGCGUCUUAAUUACCAUUGCUGGGCGUCAUAGUUGACAUGGACUAGUCGUGGAUUUACUUCGUUGCUAUGCGCAACACUUGUUUCAGGUUUUCUGAGCCUUCAUUACGCCGUGGUAAUCUCUGAGAAAGUUUGGAAAUGUACAAUAAUUUUUCGGGCCUGGUCGAGAGGCAUUGAAGGGGACGUGAUUAUUGAAAACUUUAGAGCUAUAUAUAUAUAUAUCUUCAGUUACUAUUCCCGUCACAGUUUGCUUUCCAGCAGAUCAUGUGGAGUGGAUGCAGGAUAGUGUUUUCCCCUCAAAGGAUGAGAAGAGUAUCACCAAAGAGAGAAGAAUAUGUGGAGGAAAAUCCAUGCUCAUCAAGGAUCCAAGAACACUCAUACAUUCAUGCACUACCAGUUGUUUCUUAUGAUUGCAAUAUGGUGACUGAUAAAGAGAGUGAAGGAGCAGGCUGCAAACAACAUCAAGAUAGAAGAUGAACAUUCAAGGCGAGCUUCAUCAACAAAUACAGGUGUGCAAGGGCAGUGCACAGAAUGAUUGAGUAAUGAUGAAGAAGGCCAUUUCAGCAGCUUGAAGAGGUGCAGCUCAUCUGGAUGCAUGACCCAACAAGAUGGUGAAGGGGUCAAGAUUCACUAGCAUAGAAAAGGCAAAUCAGCAUCGCGAUAUUGCAAUGAAGAUGAGGAAUUUUGCAAUUAUCAUGAAUUUCCUUUGGAAAUCCAAGAUCCAAGAUUAGUACAUCAUGAAGAUACCCAAAUGUUAAGUACAAGAUGAAAGUUCAGCAUACAAGGAAGAGAAAUUAUGAAAGUGACCAAGACAAGUUAAAAGAAUCAAACAAGAUUAGAGGGUCGACUUGAGCAAUAUGGUCAUCAUCACUGGCUUGGAAAUGUUGAGUAUCAAGAUAUAUUGCCUGAAUCACAGACUCUUCUUUGUGAUAAUAUACAAAGUGUAAGCUGAGGUGGUGACAACUCACCUUCACUCAUCAAUCAAGGUCAACACGUCUAGAUACAUUGAACCUAAUGCAUCCAAGAGUAGAGCAAGUGACACAUCACUUCAUCAAAUAUUGUUUGUCUUACCUAACCUCAUUUCCUAUUGGUAAAAGUUCAAGGAGGGACAUGUGUCCAAAAAUGUAAUUUUGUCAUUGGUCAAGCAUUAAAUGUAAUGCAAAGUUAGUUGUAACUAACCCUGAUUAGGGUUUCUCAUGUAAUCUCGGCCAUUCAUUUGUAAAGGGAAGUCUAUAAAAGGCUUGAUCUCCUCAUUUGUAAAGGUCAAUAGUUGAUAGCAUAAGCAGUUAGAAGUAGAAGUAGAAGUAGAGUAGGAGGAG